GAGUUUGAUCUUGGCUCAGAUUGAACGCUGGCGGCAGGCCUAACACAUGCAAGUCGAGCGGUAACAGGGAUAGCUUGCUAUCUGCUGACGAGCGGCGGACGGGUGCGUAACACGUAGGAAUCUACCCAGUAGCGGGGGGAUAGCCCGGAGAAAUCCGGAUUAAUACCGCAUACGCCCUACGGGGGAAAGCGAGGGGAUUCUUUCUUUGGUAGAGAACCUUGCACUAUUGGAUGAGCCUGCGUCGGAUUAGCUGGUUGGUGGGGUAAAGGCCGUACCAAGGCAACGAUCCGUAGCUGGUCUGAGAGGAUGAUCAGCCACACUGGGACUGAGACACGGCCCAGACUCCUACGGGAGGCAGCAGUGGGGAAUAUUGCACAAUGGGCGCGAAGCCUGAUGCAGCCAUGCCGCGUGUGUG
Molecule: ribosomal RNA, 415 nt
Filed under: uncultured Hahellaceae bacterium
Lineage: Bacteria; Pseudomonadati; Pseudomonadota; Gammaproteobacteria; Oceanospirillales; Hahellaceae
Description: bacterial SSU rRNA
Rfam family: Bacterial small subunit ribosomal RNA
Source: RNAcentral